Fukomys damarensis (Damara mole-rat) is the source of this 1323-nucleotide long non-coding RNA. RefSeq lists it as uncharacterized. The record is from RefSeq and is a predicted model, not a curated record. NCBI's taxonomy places the organism in Eukaryota, Metazoa, Chordata, Mammalia, Rodentia, Bathyergidae. The transcript is spliced from 3 exons.
CUGAGCUAAAUCCCUGGCCAGCAUGUGCCUUUUUUGGAAAAAAAAACUUGAUUUGGACAGAAAAACUGGAUACUGCAAUGGUAAUUUCUUUCUGCUUGUAUCUCAAAAACAACUUCAGUGAUUGUGAAGAUAGCAGGGAUGAUGAUGUCUGUACUUAGGUUUUGUUUCAGGAGAAGGGAUUUAGUGAGGCCGGCCAGGCACGCUGGGGACAUUUGUUCACACCAAGGAAAUCGAGAGUAGUUUCUGUUUUUCUGGCUUUGCUCUAGUACUUCUCCAGUUGCUCCUCUGGGGUGUGCAUUUUUUUCCCUUCCAUUCAGAUGAUCACAUCAGCUGCCAAGACUUGUUGGCCAAUACAAUGUUACCUAAUUAAGCAUCUGAAAACUGUAACUUAGCAAAAGCAGAGGCUGCCUUCCCAGGGGGGAAAAGCUGUGUUUGGUUAAAGCUGUCACACCUGCAAUAUGUUUAUAAGCUUUUUAUUUCAAGACCAGAAGUGAAGGACACAAGCUUCCAGUUGUUUUAGGUACAGACUUAUUAAUUUAAGCCCAAAUUAAUAACAUGUAGCUUCGAAGAUACUAUCAACAACGUUACUGGGUAAUAUAGCAGUGAAUGUUGAUGUAGUUGUCUACAAGAAGAGUGCCUACUGUUGUUAAUAUUUAGUGUUUGCACACAUUUGAUAAUAGUUAAUAUAGCUUUUUAGUUAUAAAUUUUGAAAUGUUGAUGGAAAAAAUGGACCUAAGUAGUAUUAUAAACUCAGGUGUUUAAGUUUUGAGUCUUCAGGCCUCUGUAAAGUGCGGGUUGUAGUUGGGGAGAGAGCUUGCUCGGCUCCACCAUGCCCUGCGGAGAUUUUCAUAGCCUGAUCCUCUGCCUGGACCCGACUGGCCAUUUCUGAAGGCGAGAAGGAGCAGCCUGACUGUAUCUGGGGAGUCUGGGCAGAGGUUCAUACCAUUGCCAAGGUUUUCUUUGGAAGAGCGAUCACGGGCUCCCGUACAGUGCUGCCACCAUUGUCCUGGAGAAGAAAAGAGUAUUUUACAGGACCCUGUUCUCGUGCUAGCCGAGGAGUAGGGGAACCCGCCCAGUAUGAACAGAGCAUGACUCGCCUUUCACCUGCACAGCUUAAUGUCCUCCACCUGUGUCUGUUGUUGCAAAUGGGAUUUCCUUUUAUGGACCAAAUAGAAUUCCAUUGUAUAUACCAAGCACGUCUAGCCUAUAGCCUCCAGGUCGGACAUGCUUGGCUUGCCUGGGCCAUGCUGAGUGAGGAGGAGUUAUCUUGGGCUGCAGUUAAUAUAUAGUCUUGCUAAAUCACUAAGUUGUUCAGGUUGUCCA